AAGCGGAUAAUGGAUGCCUUGGAUACUAGAGCCGAAGAAGGACGUCUAUGGCCACGAAAGUCGUCGGGGAGCUGCCAUACAGCUGUGAUCCGGCGGUGUCCGAAUGGGGAAACCCCUGCGUAAGCAGACCCCGCAAUUGCGGGGAGGGAACGCCUCGAACUGAAACAUCUAAGUAGGGGCUGGAAAAUAAAUCACAGAGAUUUCGUAAGUAGCGGCGAGCGAAAGCGAAACAGUCUAAACCCCGCAGCAAUGCGGGGGGUUGCGGGAAGUGUUGAGGGACAACAAAAGAUAACUGAAUUGCUUGGAAUCGUAGACCAAAGAGCGUGAUAGUCGCGUAAGUAAAAUCAAUUGUUGCCUGAUGCCAAUUUUCCCAAGUACCAUGGGGCACAUACCCUGUGGGAAUCCGGGGUGACCACACUCCAAGACUAAAUACUCUAGUAUACCGAUAGUGAACUAGUACCGUGAGGGAAAGGCGAAAAGAAGGGUGAAAAACCUAGUGAAAUAGAACCUGAAAUUGUCCGCUAACAAGCAGUGAGAGUCCUUCGGCCGCAAGGCUUGGGGAUGAUCGCGUGCCUAUUGAAGAAUGAUCCGGCGAGUUUUCGAUUACCACAAGUCUACGUCGACCAAGUCGAAGCAGGCGCAGCGAAAGCGAGUCUUAACAGGGCGAUUAGUGGUGAUUGGAAGACCCGAAACCUGGUGAGCUAAUCAUGAGCAGGGUGAGACCCGCCGAAAGGUGGGAGGAGGCCCGCACUCGUCAGAGUUACAAAUCUGUGAGAUGACUUGUGAUUAGGGGUAAUAUGCCAAUCGAACCAGGAGAUAGCUGGCUCUCCCCGAAAUAUAUAUAGGUAUAGCCUCAUGUGAUAAUUUACGAGAGGUAGAGCACUGGAUGGGUGUAGUAGCGCAAGCUAUUGCUCUCAAUCAAACUCCGAAUUCUUGUAAGGAACCCAUGGGAGUCAGAACGGCGCGGCUAAGCGCGUCGCUCUAAAGGGAAACAACCCAGAUUGUCGUCUAAGGUCUCUAAAUGAAUACUUAGUGUAAAACGAAGUCAAAUUUCUCAGACAACCAGGAGGUUGGCUCAGAAGCAGCCAUCCUUUAAAGAAAGCGUAACAGCUCACUGGUCGAUUUGUUUGAAGGUCACACCGUGAGGUGGACUGGAGUGAUCUCAAGUGAGAAUGCCGGAAUGAGUAGCGUAACCAAAGUGAGAAUCUUUGGCACCGAAAACCCAAGGUUUCCCUGGCUACAUUGUUUGUCCAGGGGUAAGUCGGCACCUAAGGCGAGGCCAUAGUAGGCGUAGCUGAUGGACGAGCCGUUGAUAUUCGGCUACAUGGUAAGUAUCGUUACCAGUUAGGGAUGUACGAGAAUGGAGAAACCAGAUGUUGUUGUGAUAUAUGACAUCUAAGCAAUAAGACAGUUGGUCUUGGAAAAUCCAGACCGGCGUUUAAUCGAGUUGUGACGGGGAGUUGGGGUCGCAAGGCUCUAACAACUUGGUGAUCUUCAAUCUUCAGGAAAAGAUCCGUGACGAGAUACUUAUUAUGCCGUACCGCAAACCGACACUGGUGGGUUGGUCGAGUAGACUAAGGUGAUCGAGAGAAGGUAGUUCAAGGAACUCGGCAAAAAAGCUGGACGUAAGCUAUGCAAGAUGUCCUACCUGGGGUUAAACUCAGGUUACAACAAAAGAUUAUUCCGCGACUGUUUAACUAAAACACAGGUCCGUGCAAACUCGAAAGAGAAAGUAUACGGGCUGAGACCUGCCCAGUGCUCGCAAGUCAAGGGGAUGGUUGAGAUUACAUCAAGACUUGAACUGAAGCCCGAGUGAACGGCAGCAGUAACUAUAACUGUUCGAUGGUAGCGAAGUUCCUUGUCGGGUAAGUUCCGACCCGCAUGAAAGGUAUAACGACGGAAUAACUGUCUUGAACUAUCACUCGGCGAAUUUGAAAUGGCUGUGAAGAUGCGGCCUACCUCUACUAGGACAAAAAGACCCUAUGGAGCUUUACUGUAACCAGGCGCUGUCUUGGAUAUUAAAAUAGUUUAGUGUAGGAGGGAGCCGCAAGGCAAACUUGAAACACCUCUCGUUUUGGUAUCUCAAGACUCACCCAUGUCAGCUGGAAACGCUGUCGGGGACAAGGUUUGGUGGGCAGUUUUACUGGGGAGGUACCCUGCUAAAAGGUAACGCAGGGGUACUAAGGUGCACUAAGCUCGGAUGGAAAUCGAGCAGGUCGUGUAACGGCAAAAGUGCGCUUGACUGUGAGAGCGUCGGCUCGAGCAGGUGGGAAACCAGGUCGUAGUGAUCCCCCGAUGCGUCGUGGGACGCGCGGGGCUUAACGGAUAAAAGCUACCCUAGGGAUAACAGGCUGAUCGCCGCCAAGAGUUCAUAACGCGGCGGUUUGGCACCUCGAUGUCGGCUCACUGCAUCCUGGGGGGGUAGUACCUCCCAAGGGUCCGGCUGUUCGCCGGUUAAAGCGGUACGCGAGCUGGGUUCAGAACGUCGUAAGACAGUUCGGUCUCUAUCCAGUAGGGGCGUUGGGAUUCUUGAGGGGGUCUGCUCUCAGUACGAGAGGACCAGAGUGGAGAUACCUCUGGUGUGCCGGUUGUGACGUCAGUUGCAUCGCCGGGUAGCUAAGUAUCUACGGGAUAACCGCUGAAAGCAUCUAAGUGGGAAGCCCUACCCAAGAUUAGGAAUCCAUGUUCUGCCGCAAGGCGGGACGAAAGACCCGGGGAAGACUACCCCGUAUAUAGGCUGGCGGUGUAAGGCACGCGAGUGUUUUAGCCUACCAGUACUAAAUGGUC
Molecule: ribosomal RNA, 2787 nt
Filed under: Parcubacteria group bacterium GW2011_GWC1_45_13
Lineage: Bacteria
Description: 23S ribosomal RNA
Rfam family: Bacterial large subunit ribosomal RNA
Source: RNAcentral